This 482-nucleotide ribosomal RNA is filed under the name uncultured bacterium. RNAcentral's name for it is "partial 16S ribosomal RNA". It matches the Rfam family "Bacterial small subunit ribosomal RNA", at positions 28 to 507 of the family's 1533-position model. The record is from RNAcentral.
GAUGAACGCUAGCGGCAGGCCUAAUACAUGCAAGUCGGACGGGAUUCAGGAGCUUGCUUCUGAUGAGAGUGGCGCACGGGUGCGUAACACGUAUGUAACCUACCUUUAUCAGGGGGAUAGCCUCUCGAAAGAGAGAUUAAGCCCGCAUAAAAUCACAGCACAGCAUUGUGUAAUGAUCAAAUAUUUAUAGGAUAAAGAUGGGCAUGCGGAGCAUUAGCUAGAUGGCGGGGUAACGGCCCACCAUGGCGACGAUGUUUAGGGGAUCUGAGAGGAUGGCCCCCCACACUGGUACUGAGACACGGACCAGACUCCUACGGGAGGCAGCAGUAAGGAAUAUUGGUCAAUGGGCGGAAGCCUGAACCAGCCAUGCCGCGUGCAGGAAGACGGCCCUACGGGUUGUAAACUGCUUUUAUACGGGAAUAAACCCAGAUACGUGUAUCUGGCUGAAUGUACUGUAAGAAUAAGGAUCGGCUAACUCCGUG